ACAAGCACUGAAUAUUGCUGUAUAGUUUUGUUACAGUUUUCACCGCAAAUGUUAAUGAGGAAAAGUGACAGUAAAUGAAUCAACCUUACCACGACUCUGUCUUCAUUGGCUACGGUUUAACUUGGUGUUUAGUCAGAGUUUCAACACACUACAUGGAGAAUUAACUGGAAGUGUGCGUGAUGCCCUUAGAUCCAACCCUCUUUCUGCUCUAUUUAAACCUGAGUACCUGCUUCAGGUCAGAGUUUCUGAAAGAUCAGAAUAAUGUCCAUGAUGAAGAGGUCUGUGUUUGUGGGUUUUGUCCUGCUUGCUCUCAUCCCAUUGAUUCAUGCUGCCUGUUGGUAUCAACUGCCCAGAUCUGGUGCGACUCAUUGUCAAGACGGUCAGGAUAAGACUUGGCACCCGAUCGGAGCCGA
Long non-coding RNA from Hemibagrus wyckioides, 413 nucleotides. RefSeq lists it as uncharacterized. The record is from RefSeq and is a predicted model, not a curated record. The transcript is spliced from 3 exons. Lineage: Eukaryota; Metazoa; Chordata; Actinopteri; Siluriformes; Bagridae.